CUUCUUCUGCUUUUCACCUUGUACACGGACUUCUGCACUGGUGACACAUAGCUCCUUAUAUGAUGUAGCAAGUUCAUCAAGGGUCAGAUCAUCUGCACUUGAAUCAUCAUCAGUGACACAAACACUAGUUAGUGCAGUGACAUGUUUAGCAGAUUCUCCUUCAGAUUCACUCUCAGAAUCUCCCUCAGACCAUGUGACAGCUAGCCCCUUCUUUUGCAUCUUAAGGUAGGUAGGGCAUUCAGCUCGAAUGUGUCCA
Molecule: long non-coding RNA, 256 nt
Filed under: Lathyrus oleraceus (garden pea)
Lineage: Eukaryota; Viridiplantae; Streptophyta; Magnoliopsida; Fabales; Fabaceae
Description: Pisum sativum (pea) long non-coding RNA (PSAT_LNC029929)
Source: RNAcentral